Small RNA from Flavobacterium aquatile, 79 nucleotides. It matches the Rfam family "Flavo-1 RNA". NCBI's taxonomy places the organism in Bacteria, Pseudomonadati, Bacteroidota, Flavobacteriia, Flavobacteriales, Flavobacteriaceae. The record is from Rfam.
AUUUAGCCCUGAUUGGAGCAAAUAUCCUUUUUCUUUUUUCUUUAAAAAGGAAAAGAUAUUGCGGAAAGCAGGAAAAUGG